GGUACCCUUGGUCCCUUGAUUUCAUUUGCACUGAGCAGUCUGCUCUGCCUUCAAACUGCCCUAACCUAGUGGGACUUUGGUAAUCGGAGUCCUGUAACUGACGUGUGGUUUGCAUUAAAUAUCUGCUUCCCUUAAUGCUCAGGACACUCUGCUGUAGGAUGAGGUUUGCAUAGAUACAUGUAGGGAAGAAAAAAAGAUUAGCCUGCUAACGGCAGAAGCCCUCUCUGCUUUCAGGUCCCCUUUGGCUUGAUGACUAUGCUGGAUGUUGUGGUAUUUUCUGCCCUGUGCCAGUAUCUCUGAAAGCUUGCCUGAACAUCUCUGUGUCUUACCAGGUGCCAUUAGUAGUUUAAAUCAACCUGAAUGUGUGUCCUGUUCAGAGUGCAAUGUGUUGUUUCUCACAGCUGAGCAGCACUCUGCCUUCCCAGCAGCAGUUCACCGCAGAGCACGUUGCUCAUUCCUGGCUCCAGCUCUGAGCUAAGCUGGUAGCCCAGGUUGAGGAGGUCAAACCUGCUGUCUGAUAACAGAUGAAGGUGAGAUGUGAUGGCCCAGCCCCUGGCACCAUAUCUGGGUGUUGAGGCAAUGCCAGCACCAUUUGGCUGCUCCUUCAGGCUGUGCUGCUGCCCUCUUCUAGGGGCAGGCAUUGCCUUCAGCUCCUUUCUGCACACAGGAAACAGGGUGGAGAGCUUUGGUUUUAUUUUAUGUCUUUAUCUGUAAGGAAAACAAAUUUGUUAUCUGUAGUGAGGAGCAAAGGGUCAUCUUGUUCAAAGCCUUUGCUUUUCAAGUGUUUUUCUAGCACUAUUAUAUUCCAAAGUAACAAGCAAGCAGUACUGCUUGGUGGAGUUCACAGAGCCUCAGUUCUUAAUGCCCUGAGCACACUGCUAAAUCAAGACAGAAAUUGAUUUGAGACUGUUUGAAGAUGACAGCUCUGGAUUAAGCUUAAUUGACCAUCAUGAUUUUACAUCGACUCAGAUGAGCCAAGGCGCAAGUGGUGCCCUGGCUGGCUGGGGCUGUUGGUCGCAUGAUGAUGACAGAGGACAAAUUCGUCUCCAGAACUCACCUGGCAGCCAGCUUCCCCGUGUCCUUGCUGGAGAAGAGCUGGCAGGACGUGUGCUGUGUAUCGAUAAAACCAGAGGGAAACCCUGGGACCUCUCCGACCAGAGCUGGAAAUUAACUCGAUGCGAUUGUGUACGCAAUUUCUCUGCUCUGCUGCAGACUCAUCCAAGCCGUGGUGUUUGUGUGUCCCCUCCUGCAGUAAUGCUGGGGCUGGGGAAGCCAUCCUGUGACCACAUUUUGGUGACAAACUGUGAAUCACACACGGGUGUAAUCCCCAGUACGCCGAGGCUGGUGCAGGUUUGGGCUGAGAGCUGGUGGCUGUGUUGGGAAAGGCUCAGCAGCCUUUUAUCAGCCUGAAAUUUCAAAUUCAACCAGAAGAAGCAAAACCAUUCUUUCUCCUCUGUUUUGCCAGCGAGCUUUUAAUCAU
RNAcentral lists this long non-coding RNA (1480 nucleotides) under Anas platyrhynchos platyrhynchos (common mallard). RNAcentral describes it as "lncRNA (ENSAPLG00000023337.1)". The record is from RNAcentral. Lineage: Eukaryota; Metazoa; Chordata; Aves; Anseriformes; Anatidae.